Molecule: long non-coding RNA, 250 nt
Filed under: Pelobates cultripes (western spadefoot toad)
Lineage: Eukaryota; Metazoa; Chordata; Amphibia; Anura; Pelobatidae
Source: RNAcentral
GCUGCCUAAAAUGCAUCCAAACAUUCAGUAUCUCCUCCCUCUAAAUGCAGACACUGAACUUUCCUCAUAGAGAUUCAUUGAUUCAAUUCAUCUCUAUGAGCAGAUGCUGAUUGGCCAGGGCUGUGUUUGAAUCAUUCUGGCUCUGCCCCUGAUCUGCCUCUUUGACAGUCUCAGCCAAUCCUAUGGGGAAGCAUUGUGAUAGGCUCAGAACAACACUUCUGAUGAUGUCAGCAGACAGAUUACUAUUCUG